This 486-nucleotide unclassified non-coding RNA is filed under the name Trichuris trichiura (human whipworm). RNAcentral's name for it is "sequence contains ITS2". Lineage: Eukaryota; Metazoa; Nematoda; Enoplea; Trichinellida; Trichuridae. The record is from RNAcentral.
GUUAACGAUAAUAGGGAAUGCACCGCUCAGGCUACAGGUUGAGGUUGGUGGCAAGCACCGGACAAACCUCCAUCCACGCGCGAGCGAGCGUGACCCCACAACUCCGUUGCCAGCCAGCCGCGAUGGCAACUGGUAGGCGGAGCGGCGAGGAGGGGCCAAGUGCCCGGAGGAUUGCAACCGGCGGGGGUAGCGACAGCCAGAGCCAUACUGCCGCAGCCACGGAGGCCGCAACGGAACGCGCACGUGCUAGUAGCAGCAAGUGGUGGUCGUCGAGCAAAAGCAGCAGCAGACGACGACGACGACGACGACGAGGAUACCGUUAGCCGCGCUGCGGCGGCGGCGGCGGGGGGCACCGCUCGACCGACGACGGCGGCAAACGUUGCUGACACACUGCUACCGGUCAGGCGAGCUGCCGGUAGCGGCGUCUUUGCCGUUCGUCAACUAGCGGUUCGCCGCGUGGCUCCACCCGUACGUCUCCUCGAUGUU